UACGUAGGUGGCAAGCGUUAUCCGGAAUUAUUGGGCGUAAAGCGCGCGUAGGCGGUUUUUUAAGUCUGAUGUGAAAGCCCACGGCUCAACCGUGGAGGGUCAUUGGAAACUGGAAAACUUGAGUGCAGAAGAGGAAAGUGGAAUUCCAUGUGUAGCGGUGAAAUGCGCAGAGAUAUGGAGGAACACCAGUGGCGAAGGCGACUUUCUGNGUCUGUAACUGACGCUGAUGUGCGAAAGCGUGGGGAUCAAACAGGAUUAGA
RNAcentral lists this ribosomal RNA (260 nucleotides) under uncultured Staphylococcus sp. RNAcentral describes it as "partial 16S ribosomal RNA". It matches the Rfam family "Bacterial small subunit ribosomal RNA", at positions 524 to 782 of the family's 1533-position model. Lineage: Bacteria; Bacillati; Bacillota; Bacilli; Caryophanales; Staphylococcaceae. The record is from RNAcentral.